Phrynosoma platyrhinos (Desert horned lizard) is the source of this 70-nucleotide non-coding RNA. NCBI's taxonomy places the organism in Eukaryota, Metazoa, Chordata, Lepidosauria, Squamata, Phrynosomatidae. The record is from the annotation of a GenBank genome assembly.
GCCAGUGUGGUGUAGUGGUUUGCGUCCUGGAUUAGAACUCAAGAUCCAGGGUUCAAUCCCUGCUCAAGCA